GAAUGUUUGCAGAAUUUCCCUUUCAUGGCAUGAAAGAGGACUCUCCGAUAGAAAGUCACACAGGGAUAUUUUGAAAUGGCUGGGAAGGUACCAGCAUCAAGAGAAGAUGAAAAAGCAAAACGAAGUCCUGUUUGAAUAUUGUGACUGUUUUUAAAGACAGAUAAAAGGGUAAAGAAAAUAAUUCCCAUUCAUCCUUUUGUUUAGUUUUUGGCAUUGUAGCUAAGAUUCUCCUAGCAAUUGUUUUCCCCUUCUGCCUUAAGGAAAUCCGCUAAAAAUCUUGGGUUUUGGCAGGCUCGAUUUUCUCAUUUUCCCUCAUAACUAAUUCUUCUGCUUUUUAAUCCGGAGAAACUAGGAACAAUCCGGCCCAAGAUGGAAAUAAGUCUGGGAAGCUGCGAAGAGUGUGAUUUCCGAUCGCACCACCCACCGGCCUCCCGCUUCAAAGUUCUCCUGCCCAGUGUGAACCUCACUUCUGGCUUUUUCUACAAAAGUGGCCAUGAGCGCCCAAUGCACAGAAUGAAUUCGGCUACAAAGAGGCCUUUGAGAGCUCCCGAGGAAGUGCCCCACUGGGAAACCAGGUGGAUGGCAAACGUUCCCUUUUCAUUACAAAUGAGUUCAGGGACAGGGCCACCCUGAUGGGACUCUCAACUCCAUCCGAAAGCUAAGCCCCACCAGCCCACUCAUUUGAAAACCAAACAGGUUUCCUUCUGCCUCCCCAUUCCCUGUUCACAAACACGUUUACAAGUGCUUGAUAGGUGACCUUAUUUACUUAGUAACCUGUGGAUUCAUUUAUCUUGAAAUUAGUAGGUAAUGAAGUGGAAAACCUCAACAGCCCUCCCACUAAUUAACAUGAUAAUAAGAUUGUUUUGCUACAGAGGUACAAUUAGCAUGUAUGAGCCAAAGGGGAAGAAAGAUCAAUAAAAUGUCUGAAGGGUACUACUCCCAGGUCUCCAGAGAAGAACAAAGAAGGGAAACUACAGAUUUUAAGACCCAUCCGUGUAAACACAUCCAACUCUGAGACCGGACCCUACUGAAAUGAUUUGAUGCCUGCUGGAGAAGGAGGUGUGGAGAUAACUGAAAGGAAUUAAUUAUAAAGUACACAUUUUGGUGCAGUCGAUGGCCUUUGAAAAUAAAAGGGAAAAACUGGGGGGGCUUUUCCUGCUGUAAGAACUACCAGAGAACCAUCUGCUUGAGGAAUCCUUUAAAAAUUGCCAUGGGUCGUUUAGCAGUUCAUGGUUCCAUCUUGCUCUGUUCUUGCAAUCAGAAAAAGAACUGAGCUAUAUCCAGGGAAGAUCCUGCCAUGCUCCUUCCCGCUGAAGGAGCCUCUUCCUGAAGAUUAGGAGAUAAUGCAUCUGGAAUAACAUGAACUCAUCCAG
This 1373-nucleotide long non-coding RNA is filed under the name Homo sapiens (human). Its description in RNAcentral is "HSALNT0225292". The record is from RNAcentral. Lineage: Eukaryota; Metazoa; Chordata; Mammalia; Primates; Hominidae.